This 632-nucleotide ribosomal RNA is filed under the name Acarospora badiofusca. RNAcentral describes it as "partial large subunit ribosomal RNA". It matches the Rfam family "Eukaryotic large subunit ribosomal RNA", at positions 21 to 668 of the family's 3401-position model. The record is from RNAcentral. Lineage: Eukaryota; Fungi; Ascomycota; Lecanoromycetes; Acarosporales; Acarosporaceae.
UUACCCGCUGAACUUAAGCAUAUCAAUAAGCGGAGGAAAAGAAACCAACAGGGAUUGCCUCAGUAACGGCGAGUGAAGCGGCAACAGCUCAAAUUUGAAAUCUGGCCCUUUCAGGGUCCGAGUUGUAAUUUGUAGAGGAUGCUUCGGGUACGGCUCCGGUCUAAGUUCCUUGGAACAGGACGUCACAGAGGGUGAGAAUCCCGUUUGUGACCGGCCGCCACGCCCGUGUGAAGCUCCUUCGACGAGUCGAGUUGUUUGGGAAUGCAGCUCAAAAUGGGUGGUAAAUUUCAUCUAAAGCUAAAUAUUGGCCAGAGACCGAUAGCGCACAAGUAGAGUGAUCGAAAGAUGAAAAGCACUUUGGAAAGAGAGUUAAACAGUACGUGAAAUUGUUGAAAGGGAAGCGCUUGCAACCAGACUUGCCCGCAGGUGAUCAACCGGUAUUCUUACCGGUGCACUCGCCUGUGGGCAGGCCAGCAUCGGUUUGGGUGGCUGGAUAAAGUCCCCCGGAAUGUAGCUCCCUCCGGGGAGUGUUAUAGCCGGGGGUGCAAUGCAGCCCGCCCGGACCGAGGACCGCGCUUCGGCUAGGAUGCUGGCGUAAUGGUUGUAAGCGACCCGUCUUGAAACACGGACCA